CUUCCCCCCUUCUCUCUCUCUCUCCACCAAACUAUCUCACGCUCUCUCAAUCUCUCACACUGCUGCAAACCUCUCUCAGAUGAUUGGGGCACCCAAACAUCUCGCUCCUCACUCAAUCUCCCUCUUUGCCUUCUCUCAAUCACUCUCGCUGCUGCCCCAUUGUUGCUGCUCCUUUGCUCAAUUGUGACAAUAUUCGGGAUUUGAGGUGCAUCCAAGGUUUGUUGCUGUCCCAUUGCUCGAUUGGGGCAUUCUUCGGGAUUUGAGGUGCAUCCAAGGUUCAGGGUUAAUUGAAAGAGUUUUAUGGACCCUGCCAUAUCAGUCGGUGUGACAUCUCCCUCGUGCACAAUUGUAGACAGCACAAAUGGCACCAUUGAGACCAGAACGGUCUGCUUGGAAUGCCGAAGAAAAUGUGCCGUACAGAACGGUCUGCUAGGAAUGCCAAAGAAAACCAUUGAUGGUUGGGUGCAACAAAGUCAUCUAAAAUUGGUGGAAAGCAACAAUGUGAUGUUCGUUGAUGCAUACAACAAGAGCAGAUAGUUCUCAACCAUCUCAAGGAACACUAAGGAGAAAUUUGCUGUUGCGAGCUCAAGAUGUCUAUUUGGAUUUUUCAAUUUGCUGUUGUGAACUCCAGAUGUCUAUUUUAACUCUUUUAAUUUGCUGUUGAGGACUCAAAAUGUCUAUUUUGGCUUUUUCAAUUUGCUGCUGCAGACUCAAGAUGUCUAUUUUGCCUUUUUUUUGUUGUAUGGACUUUAGAAAAUAACAUUAUAAAAUAUAUAUUCAUUGUGUGGCUACCCAUUUCUAGACAUGUCGCCUAGAAAGGAAAGAAAUGAAGAUACUGCACUGUCAUAUUUGGGAUCAAAUGUUUCCCUUCACUGUGACUGUAAUUUCAGUAUUGCAAUGUAUCUUGUCUAUAAAAUUAAUGUUCUUUCAUAUAACAA
Molecule: long non-coding RNA, 938 nt
Organism: Amborella trichopoda
Lineage: Eukaryota; Viridiplantae; Streptophyta; Magnoliopsida; Amborellales; Amborellaceae
Source: RefSeq, a predicted model, not a curated record